Molecule: long non-coding RNA, 309 nt
Filed under: Mytilus galloprovincialis (Mediterranean mussel)
Lineage: Eukaryota; Metazoa; Mollusca; Bivalvia; Mytilida; Mytilidae
Source: RNAcentral
GACAGUGGUACAGCAGUACAACAUAAGAACGAACUAUAAAAUUCAGUUGAAAAAGGCUUAACUCAUCAGAUGGACAAAAAUAUAAGUGGACGUGGCCGGGUACUUAUACAUCCCGACACAAAAAGAUACAAUGAACAGAUCUGAGAGUACUCGCAGUUAUCUGACAGCUAGUUCAAAGCCACUAACAACUAAUAAAAAAUCGUGCAUCUAAGACUAAACUAUCAAUCCGUACACAUUCAACAUCCAAUGGAUUUAGUGUAAAGACAUCAUAAACAACCAGAGAAAAACAUGACCUUGUACAAUGCCAAG